GCGCGGGGUAACCUGGCGGCGAGUGGCGAACGCAGUGAGUAAUACAUCGGAACGUGCCCUGUGAUGGGGGAUAACUACGCGAAAGCGUAGCUAAUACCGCAUACGACCUACGGGUGAAAGUGGGGGAUCGCAAGACCUCACGUCAUAGGAGCGGCCGAUGGCGGAUUAGCUAGUUGGUGAGGUAAAGGCUUACCAAGGCAACGAUCCGUAGCUGGUCUGAGAGGACGACCAGCCACACUGGGACUGAGACACGGCCCAGACUCCUACGGGAGGCAGCAGUGGGGAAUCUUGGACAAUGGGGGCAACCCUGAUCCAGCAAUGCCGCGUGUGGGAUGAAGGCCUUCGGGUUGUAAACCACUUUUGGCGGGGGCGAAAUAUCGAGUGCUAAUACCAUUCGGUGAUGACGGUACCCGCAGAAUAAGCACCGGCUAACUACGUGCCAGCAGCGGGG
Molecule: ribosomal RNA, 451 nt
Filed under: uncultured Thiomonas sp.
Lineage: Bacteria; Pseudomonadati; Pseudomonadota; Betaproteobacteria; Burkholderiales
Description: bacterial SSU rRNA
Rfam family: Bacterial small subunit ribosomal RNA
Source: RNAcentral